Molecule: ribosomal RNA, 406 nt
Filed under: uncultured bacterium
Lineage: Bacteria
Description: bacterial SSU rRNA
Rfam family: Bacterial small subunit ribosomal RNA
Source: RNAcentral
AGAGUUUGAUCCUGGCUCAGAAUCAACGCUGGCGGCGUGCCUCAGACAUGCAAGUCGAACGAUUAAAGCUCUCUUCGGAGAGUGUAUAGAGUGGCGCACGGGUGAGUAACACGUAAGUAAUCUACCUUCGAGUGGGGAAUAACGUCCGGAAACGGACGCUAAUACCGCAUAAUGCAGCGGCAUCUUAUGAUGACAGUUGUUAAAGGAGCAAUUCGCUUGAAGAGGAGCUUGCGGCAGAUUAGCUAGUUGGUAAGGUAAUGGCUUACCAAGGCUACGAUCUGUAACCGGUCUAAGAGGACGGUCGGUCACACUGACACUGAAUAACGGGUCAGACUCCUACGGGAGGCAGCAGUCGGGAAUUUUGGGCAAUGGGCGAAAGCCUGACCCAGCAACGCCGCGUGAAGGA